GAUGAAGAACUUAGCGAAAUGCGAUAAGUAAUGUGAAUUGCAGAAUUCAGUGAAUCAUCGAAUCUUUGAACGCACAUUGCGCCCUCUGGUAUUCCGGGGGGCAUGCCUGUUCGAGCGUCAUUAUAACCACUCAAGCUCUCGCUUGGUAUUGGGGUUCGCGGUUUCGCGGCCCCUAAAAUCAGUGGCGGUGCCUGUCGGCUCUACGCGUAGUAAUACUUCUCGCGAUUGAGUUCGAUAGGUCUACUUGCCAGUAACCCCCAAUUUUUACAGGUUGACCUCGGAUCAGGUAGGGAUACCCGCUGAACUUAAGCAUAUCAAUAAGCGGAGGA
Molecule: unclassified non-coding RNA, 329 nt
Filed under: soil metagenome
Description: partial contains 5.8S ribosomal RNA, internal transcribed spacer 2, and large subunit ribosomal RNA
Rfam family: 5.8S ribosomal RNA (bases 1-120)
Source: RNAcentral